This 468-nucleotide ribosomal RNA is filed under the name uncultured bacterium. Its description in RNAcentral is "partial 16S ribosomal RNA". It matches the Rfam family "Bacterial small subunit ribosomal RNA", at positions 28 to 507 of the family's 1533-position model. The record is from RNAcentral.
GACGAACGCUGGCGGCGUGCUUAACACAUGCAAGUCGAACGGAAAGGCCCUGCUUUUGUGGGGUGCUCGAGUGGCGAACGGGUGAGUAACACGUGAGUAACCUGCCCUUGACUUUGGGAUAACUUCAGGAAACUGGGGCUAAUACCGGAUAGGAGCUCCUGCUGCAUGGUGGGGGUUGGAAAGUUUCGGCGGUUGGGGAUGGACUCGCGGCUUAUCAGCUUGUUGGUGGGGUAGUGGCUUACCAAGGCUUUGACGGGUAGCCGGCCUGAGAGGGUGACCGGCCACAUUGGGACGGAGAUACGGCCCAGAGUCCUACGGGAGGCAGCAGUGGGGAAUAGUGCACAAUGGGCGGAAGCCUUAUGCAGCAACGCCGCGUGCGGGAUGACGGCCGUCGGGUUGUAAACCGCUUGCGCCUGUGACGAAGCGUGAGUGACGGUAAUGGGUAAAGAAGCACCGGCUAACUACGUG